CCAAACAUGUAGACUUACCUCUACCUUUAUUA
This 32-nucleotide transfer RNA is filed under the name Craugastor bransfordii (Bransford's litter frog). RNAcentral's name for it is "partial tRNA-Met". Lineage: Eukaryota; Metazoa; Chordata; Amphibia; Anura; Craugastoridae. The record is from RNAcentral.